CGAAAUCGUCGUCAAAACCCUAACCCUAUCCCACCUUCUCCAGCUAUGCUUUCUGACUUAGCUUCCGAUUCCGGUGACGGACGACAGGAGGAAACCGCUUCUUCCUCCUCCGCUGCCGUGAUGAAUUCGGACGAGGAAGAGGAGGAAGAAGAUAUGGGAUAUAAGUCGCCUGAUGAUGAGGUGAGUACGACGUUGUUUUCAGGAACGGAGAUAGAGGAUGAGCUGGAAGGUAAUCGUGAACCGACAGCCGAGGAUGAGGACCUUCGGGAGUUGGAUGGUGCAUCUUCUAAGAGCCUUGUGGUUGUUGAGACAGAGAAUGCGUUUUUGAGGACGGAGAAGCCUCCUACUGAUGAUUGUUGUCCAAUCUGCUUUGGAAAUUUUGUCGUUCCUUGCCGAGGUCCUUGUGGCCACUGGUACUGCGGAGGUUGUAUUUUGCAGUAUUGGAACUAUGGUGCCGCACUUCAGCCUUGUAACUGCCCCAUGUGUUCGAGGAAGCUUACUGAUUUGACACCAGAG
Molecule: unclassified non-coding RNA, 516 nt
Filed under: Hevea brasiliensis (rubber tree)
Lineage: Eukaryota; Viridiplantae; Streptophyta; Magnoliopsida; Malpighiales; Euphorbiaceae
Source: RNAcentral